Long non-coding RNA from Lonchura striata (white-rumped munia), 235 nucleotides. RefSeq lists it as uncharacterized. The record is from RefSeq and is a predicted model, not a curated record. Lineage: Eukaryota; Metazoa; Chordata; Aves; Passeriformes; Estrildidae.
GGAUCAAUGACCGCGGCGAGAGGUGCCCGCUUGAUCAAAGCCCCGAAGGCAGGGAGGAGGGUGGGAACAGCACGGGCAGCCAGUCCUCUCUAGGAUGUUUCUGGUUAAAGCACCUCAUGGGCUGCAGUCCUGGACCUGUCUGGGAAAUCGGGUAGUAUCAUCCCUGUAGACCCCUGAGGGUCUCUGCUUUUGCAGAUUCUGCUUUGCAAGGAAAUAAAUUUUCUUCUGAAAGGAA